GGAAGGAUCAUUACCGAAUUGUCGACAAGAGUUGUUGCUGGUCCUUGAACGGGGGCAUGUGCACGCUCUGUUAACACAUCCACUCACACCCUGUGCACCCUCUGUAGUUCUGUGGCUGGGGGGCCUCGUCCUCCUGCUGUGGUUCUGCAUCUUUACACACACACUGUAACAAAGUCUUAUGGAAUGCAUCUGCGUUUAACGCAAUACAAUACAACUUUCAGCAACGGAUCUCUUGGCUCUCGCAUCGAUGAAGAACGCAGCGAAAUGCGAUAAGUAAUGUGAAUUGCAGAAUUCAGUGAAUCAUCGAAUCUUUGAACGCACCUUGCGCCCUUUGGCCAUUCCGAAGGGCAUGCCUGUUUGAGUAUCAUGAACACCUCAACUCUUCAUGGUUUUCUGUGAUGAGCUUGGACUUUGGGGGUUUUGCUGGCCUAUGGUUGGCUCCUCUAAAAUGAAUCAGCUUUCCAGUGUUUGGUGGGCGUCACAGGUGUGAUAACUAUCUACGCUUGUGGUUUUCUCACCAGGUAACCUUCAGCAGUGGAGGUUCGCUGGAGCUCAUAGAUGUCACUCCUCAGUGAGGACAACCCUUUGAAUGUUUGAUCUCAAAUCAGGUAGGACUACCCGCUGAACUUAA
This 631-nucleotide ribosomal RNA is filed under the name uncultured Thelephoraceae. Its description in RNAcentral is "eukaryotic LSU rRNA". The stretch from base 213 to 367 matches the Rfam family "5.8S ribosomal RNA". Lineage: Eukaryota; Fungi; Basidiomycota; Agaricomycetes; Thelephorales; Thelephoraceae. The record is from RNAcentral.